This 603-nucleotide non-coding RNA is filed under the name Solanum lycopersicum (tomato). RNAcentral describes it as "Eukaryotic large subunit ribosomal RNA". It matches the Rfam family "Eukaryotic large subunit ribosomal RNA", at positions 24 to 623 of the family's 3401-position model. Lineage: Eukaryota; Viridiplantae; Streptophyta; Magnoliopsida; Solanales; Solanaceae. The record is from Rfam by way of RNAcentral.
CCCGCUGAGUUUAAGCAUAUCAAUAAACAGAGGAAAAGAAAUUUACAAGGAUUCCCCUAGUAACGGCGAGCGAACGGGGAACAACCCCAGCCGUAGAAUCGGGCGGCUCCGUCGUCCGAAUUGUAGUUUAGAGAAGCGUACUCAGCGGCGGACCAAGCCUAAGUCCCCUAGAAGGGGGCGCCAGAGAGGGUGAGAUCCCCGUCGUUCCCGGACCCUAUCGCACCACGAGGUGCUGUCUACGAGUCGGGUUGUUUGGGAAUGCAACCCAAAUCGGGCGGUGAAUUCCGUCCAAGGCUAAAUACUGGUGAAAUACCGAUAGCAAACAAGUACCGCUAGGAAAAGAUGAAAAGGACUUUGAAAAGAGUGUUCAAAGAGUGCUAGAAAUUGUCGGGAGGGAAGCGGAUGCGGGCCGACGAUGCGUCCUGAUCGGAUGACAGAGUCAAUCAAGAAAUUUUCUAGGUUCCUCAACCUUCGAACAGAGUAAGUAUUUAAGUUUUUCUUGACAUCAAAGUUGGUUACCUUUUGCAUCAUUUUCAUUGUUAGAUUUCUCCAUGAGAGAAAACAACCCAUGAAAAACAUUUGUAUCGUCUUGAACAAACACAA